GCCCCGGUAGCUCAGUGGUAGAGCGCCCGGCUGUUAACCGGAGGGUCGUGGGUUCGAAUCCCACCCGGGGCG
Molecule: transfer RNA, 72 nt
Rfam family: tRNA
About the family: Transfer RNA (tRNA) molecules are approximately 80 nucleotides in length. Their secondary structure includes four short double-helical elements and three loops (D, anti-codon, and T loops).